GGCCGUCUAGCUCAGUUGGUUAGAGCGUCGUGCUAAUAUAUGCUUAGAAAAUGUUAUAUUAACGCGAAGGUCUUGGGUUCGACCCCCACGAUGGCCA
Mycena polygramma is the source of this 97-nucleotide non-coding RNA. The record is from the annotation of a GenBank genome assembly. Lineage: Eukaryota; Fungi; Basidiomycota; Agaricomycetes; Agaricales; Mycenaceae.